AAAAGAUAGGGUGGGGAAAAAAUGGAUGAACUAACUGAACAUGAAAUGAAAAAGGUUAGUUAUAAAAAAUGUGAUUCUGUGUGAUCGCUUUGGUAGCUUAGGCCAACGCAACAUGAUAAAGUGUGGACAAGUAUCCUGAGACACAGCGUGCAUAUACCUCUCAAGACUCAAGAGACUUCUUUUGCUUCUUUGUUUGAAAUCAAUUCUUCUUUUAUGUGAAAUGUUUUCAUAAUUCUUUUUGUAUAUAUGUAUCUGUGAUGUGGUGUGGGGUGGUGUAUUAAAGGAUUUGAAUCAUCGACUCAAAGUACUGGAUUUGUGCUUCAAUUUUCAAUACGUGUGUCAAAUAUGAAUACACAAAUGCAACUUUUGUUGGUUGAAAACUUGAAAGCAAGGGAGUUUGAGCGCAAAUGGAAAGCGAACAUGGGAUUCAGCCAUUCUUUGUGCAAGUGGUGGACGAGAUCAUAGAGUUUUAAGCUGAGUACCAUGGAUCUGAUCUAUGUUCAUGGCAGAAAAGCUUAGCUCCUGCAAAUUUUACAUGUCAAACGUAAGUUGUGUUACAAAAUUCACGUUAUGGAAAUUAAGAAUCUGAGCCUGUAGUAGUCUAACGAAGAAAACAUGGAGUAUAAUUAACAGGGUAAACUACGUUCACACACAUGUUCUGAAGUUUAAUGAAAUUACCUUCAAUACUCAUUCUCUUUAGACAGACAUUACUUUGACACCCUUACCAUUUAUAUAACCGUACGUAUAAGAAACUAAAGGUUUUGUUAACGGGAAAGAUACUUGAUCUUAUAUAUUCCGUUAUAAGAAUUGAGGAAAGGUUGUGGAAGGUCAAAAGAUAUGGCAGGCAUUGAAUAAAUUAUCGUUAAAUCUAAUGAAAUGUAAGUAUAGUUUGUCGUAAUUAAUAAUUGAUAGAUAGAUAUUUGUGUUCUUCAAAUAGGCAAUACCCGAUGUAAG
Molecule: long non-coding RNA, 954 nt
Filed under: Glycine max (soybean)
Lineage: Eukaryota; Viridiplantae; Streptophyta; Magnoliopsida; Fabales; Fabaceae
Description: long non-coding RNA (GMAX_LNC001630)
Source: RNAcentral